AACGAACGCUGGCGGCAGGCCUAACACAUGCAAGUCGAGCGGACCUUUCGGGGUCAGCGGCGGACGGGUGAGUAACGCGUGGGAAUAUGCCCUUCUCUACGGAAUAGUCCUGGGAAACUGGGGGUAAUACCGGAUACGCCCUUUGGGGGAAAGAUUUAUCGGGGAAGGAUUAGCCCGCGUUGGAUUAGGUAGUUGGUGGGGUAAUGGCCUACCAAGCCGACGAUCCAUAGCUGGUUUGAGAGGAUGAUCAGCCACACUGGGACUGAGACACGGCCCAGACUCCUACGGGAGGCAGCAGUGGGGAAUCUUAGACAAUGGGGGCAACCCUGAUCUAGCCAUGCCGCGUGAGUGAUGAAGGCCUUAGGGUUGUAAAGCUCUUUCAGCUGGGAAGAUAAUGACGGUACCAGCAGAAGAAGCCCCGGCUAACUCCGUG
RNAcentral lists this ribosomal RNA (433 nucleotides) under uncultured bacterium. RNAcentral's name for it is "partial 16S ribosomal RNA". It matches the Rfam family "Bacterial small subunit ribosomal RNA", at positions 29 to 507 of the family's 1533-position model. The record is from RNAcentral.